RNAcentral lists this ribosomal RNA (817 nucleotides) under uncultured bacterium. RNAcentral's name for it is "bacterial SSU rRNA". It matches the Rfam family "Bacterial small subunit ribosomal RNA", at positions 8 to 794 of the family's 1533-position model. The record is from RNAcentral.
AGAGUUGACCUGGCUCAGGACGAACGCUGGCGGCGUGCUUAACACAUGCAAGUCGAACGAAAAGAGGGAAAGAGCUUGCUCUUUCCGGAAUUGAGUGGCAAACGGGUGAGUAACACGUAAACAACCUGCCUUCAGGAUGGGGACAACAGACGGAAACGACUGCUAAUACCGAAUAAGUUCCAAGGGCCGCAUGGCCCAUGGAAGAAAAGGUGGCCUCUACCUGUAAGCUAUCGCCUGAAGAGGGGUUUGCGUCUGAUUAGCUGGUUGGAGGGGUAACGGCCCACCAAGGCGACGAUCAGUAGCCGGUCUGAGAGGAUGAACGGCCACACUGGAACUGAGACACGGUCCAGACUCCUACGGGAGGCAGCAGUGGGGAAUCUUCCGCAAUGGGCGAAAGCCUGACGGAGCAACGCCGCGUGAGUGAUGACGGCCUUCGGGUUGUAAAACUCUGUGAUCCGGGACGAAAAGGCAGAGUGCGAAGAACAAACUGCAUUGACGGUACCGGAAAAGCAAGCCACGGCUAACUACGUGCCAGCAGCCGCGGUAAUACGUAGGUGGCAAGCGUUGUCCGGAAUUAUUGGGCGUAAAGCGCGCGCAGGCGGCUUCCCAAGUCCCUCUUAAAAGUGCGGGGCUUAACCCCGUGAUGGGAAGGAAACUGGGGAGCUGGAGUAUCGGAGAGGAAAGUGGAAUUCCUAGUGUAGCGGUGAAAUGCGUAGAGAUUAGGAAGAACACCGGUGGCGAAGGCGACUUUCUGGACGAAAACUGACGCUGAGGCGCGAAAGCGUGGGGAGCAAACAGGAUUAGAUACCCUGGUAGU